UUCUGAAUGCAGAACAUUAAUUAAUAUUUGUAACAUUAAGUUGAAUUGGGCACCGCGCUCGAAUACUGUAGGUGCAAAUUGAUUUGAAGGCGACGGUUGAGUAUUGUAAAGCUCGUUUAUCUAUUUCCCACGAAGUCGAGGUCAGCUGUGUAUGUGCGUCAUCAUUUUUAACACAACAAUCUGCUUGAAUGACUGGAAUCCUACUGGUACUCAAACCCAGUCAAAGUAUAUUAUUGGAAUUUGGGGUCUUUCCCAAAGGAUUUGAUGAGUUGAAGCUUGCAACGAAUAUAUCUCAUUUCUUUUACAAACGGUGAUUGUCGAGCCAAAAAAAAGGUGAAAGAAAUCCUGCAAGAGCUGUUACCGGAGCUGGUGUCUGUAACGUGCUGACUGCGCCUCCUGUUGGCUGAAGUCAAAACAACUGCAUGAGUGAGGAAUUGAAAUUGCGAAUCACAGGUUUCUUUAUCAACGAAGAUGACUCUUGCAGGCUAAACGAUAAAAAGUGGCGAUGAGAUGAAAGGAGGUGCUCCGCUGCAGCAGCUGGGUGAAGAAAGCUGGGAGAGAGUUACCUUUUUGAACUACGGCAUUCCUUGUUUUGAGAAUACUCUGGCAGUGUUGUCAGAAAGGGAAUUCCAUGAUUUCUACUCUGGUCACAGAAGAGGAAUGAAGAAGGCCCUAGUGAUAAUGACAGAACAGCCCCCAAAAACAUCCUCGACACAUUGGAUUUUUUUUUGCAAGUGUGGAAGCAACAAUGUUGGACUGGGAAUAUAAACAGAGGCUCUACUGUGAAAAAAGGAGCAUGUGAAUACUUUUUCAAGGCACUGUAUGUUGUGUAUCAUUGGAACAUUGUAACAAGAUAGAGAAGUCUUCUUAGGACCACACAAGACUGGAGUAAACCAGACUCUGCGGAAACAAGCAAGAAGCUGGAGGACAACGGGUCUUGACCUGAAAUCUUGACUGUUUACACUUUUCCAUGGAUGCUACCUGGUCUGCUGAGUUCCUCCAGCAUUCUUGUGUGUGUUGCUUUGGAUUUCCAGCCUUUGCAGACUUUCUGUUUGAGCAGCUAGAGGAAGUCAGGGGCCCAUAGAGCAUGUAUGGAGCAAAGUAGACAGUCAAUGUCUAUUUUGAGACUGUACGUUUGUACUCUAUCUGGAUGAGUGCAGAUGAAGGGUCUCAAUCCAAAAUAUCAAAUGUCCAUUUCCCUCCACAUAUGCCAGCUGAACUGCUGAGUCCCUUUAACUUCUUUUUAGAGAUUAGACUGGAAAUGGAUUGAGAAUUAAAGAGACGGGGCUUUAUAUUAUAUUGCCUAUCCCUCUCAGUCUAUUAAAAUCUAUCCCUUUGCAAAUUUCAUCAUAGAUAUUUGUCUGUUACAUGUGUGUCGAUUAAAUCAGCCUCUCUGUGUACACUCAGUGGCCACUUUAUAAGGUACACCUGCCUGUAAUGCAAAUAUAUAAUCAGCCAAUCAUGUGGAAGCAACUUAAUACAUAAAAACAUGCAGACAUGGUUAAGAGGUUCAGUUGUUGUUAAGACCAAACAUCAGAAUGGGAAGCGAAUAUGAUCUAAGUGACUUUGAUCAUGGAAGGAAGGUUUGUGCCAGAGGGGGUGGUUUGAAUAUCUCAGAAACUACCAGUCUCCUGAGGUUUUCAUGCAUGGCAUUCUCCAGAAUUUACAGAGAAUCUGAAGAAAAACAAAAAAAAAUCAAUUGAGUGGCAGUUUCGUGGGUAAAAUUGUCAUGUUAAUGAGAGAGGUCAAAGCAUUGAACCUUGAUGAGGAUGGGCUACAGCAGCAGAAGACCAUGAACAUAUAGUGCAGCCACUAUAUUAGGUUCCUAAUAAAUGGCCCCUGAGUAUAUAACCAUUACUAUCCUCUUCACUUACAGGAUUUGUGUUGAUUGCAAAUUUUGCAUGUUAAUACAUCUCCUUAA
Molecule: long non-coding RNA, 1921 nt
Organism: Hypanus sabinus (Atlantic stingray)
Lineage: Eukaryota; Metazoa; Chordata; Chondrichthyes; Myliobatiformes; Dasyatidae
Exons: 4
Source: RefSeq, a predicted model, not a curated record